Long non-coding RNA from Mytilus californianus (California mussel), 380 nucleotides. RefSeq lists it as uncharacterized. Lineage: Eukaryota; Metazoa; Mollusca; Bivalvia; Mytilida; Mytilidae. The transcript has 3 exons. The record is from RefSeq and is a predicted model, not a curated record.
UACAGUUUAACAAGGAUUUGUAUAGUGUCACUGUACAAAUCCUUGAGUUUAAAGAAUGGAAAGAUAUAUUAUAGUCAGGUAGAUAAUACAAAGAACUCUGGUUUUUCAAAACCGAUGGGUCAAAAAGUUAUUAGUAUGAACAGAUAAACCGGGGAACGAAAGAAAGUUGUGUUUCUCUUAACAGAUUACGUACCCAAUAUUUUGUACUUGGAAAGCGCAACGAAAGCUGACUCAAAAUCAUGCAUGAUGAUGCUGUUUGGGCCCCCUGGUUGUACAUAGGAAGUGGACUCCUCGAGAAGAUGAAAGGUCUGCUUUACAUCAUUUUCAAUGAAAGUACAAGUACUUUGAGAAGUAGGAGAAGCUAAGCAACAGAACAGAAU